Molecule: long non-coding RNA, 13762 nt
Organism: Pan troglodytes (chimpanzee)
Lineage: Eukaryota; Metazoa; Chordata; Mammalia; Primates; Hominidae
Exons: 3
Source: RefSeq, a predicted model, not a curated record
UUUUUUUUUUUGAGAUGGAGUCUCGCUCUGUCCCCCAGGCUGGAGUGCAGUGGCAUGAUCUCGGCUCACUGCAACCUCUGCCUCCCAGGUUCAAGUGAUUCUCCUGCCUCAGCCUCCUGAGUAGCUGGGAUUACAGGUGUGCGCCACCACGCCCAGCUAAUUUUUGUAUUUUUAGUAGAGACGGGGUUUCACCAUGUUGGUCAGGCUGGUUUCGAACUCUUUAUGUUGUGAUCCACCUGCCUCGGCCUCCUGAAGUGCUGGGAUUACAGGUGUGAGCUACCAUGCCCGGCUGAAACCACUUUUUUCCCUUAGCUUUAAAAAAACUUUUACUUGGAAAUAUGUAUAGACUUACAGAAAAGACUUCUAAAAAUAAGGAAAUUAACAUUGACAUCAUAAACUAAUCUGCAAACAAUUCAAACUCUAACAAUUUCCCUACUAAUGUACUUCUUCUGGUCUGGGAUCUAACCAGAAUUCCACAAUACAUUUAGUUGUCAUGUCUCUGUAGUCUCUGUAAUCAGUCUUUGUCCUUCAUGACCUUGACACUUUUGGAGAGUGCUGGUCAGUUAUUUUCUAGACCGUCCCUCUGUUGGGGUUUGUUUGUUGUUUCCUCAUGAUUAGAGUGAGAUUAUGCAUUUUUUGCAAUAAUGCCACAGAAAUGAUGGUAUGCCCUUCUCAGGGCAUGAUGUCAGGGAGUACAUGAUUUCAAAUGUCUUAUUACUGGUGAUGUUUACUUUUUUUUGAGACAGAGUCUCACUCUUACCCAGGCUGGAGUGCAGUGGCAGGAUCUCGGCUCACUGCAACCUCCACCUCCUGGGUUCAAGCAAUUCUCUUGCCUCAGCCACCAGAAUUACAGAUGUGUGCCACCAUACCCAGCUAAUUUUUUUUUAUUUUUCGUAGAGACGGGGUUUCACCAUGUUGGCCAGGCUGGUCUCGAACUCCUGAUCUCAAAUGAUCUGCCCACCUCAGCCUCCCAAAGUGCUGGGAUUACAGGCGUGAGCCACUGUGCCUAGCCUAGGUGAUGUUUACUUUGCUCACUUUACUUAGAUAGUGUUUGUCAGGUUUCUGCACUAUAAGGUGACUAUUUUUCCCUUUGUAAUUAAUAAGUACCUUUUAGGGAGAUACUUUGACACUAUGGAAAUAUCCUGUUUCUCAUACUUUUGUCCACUAAUUUUAGCAUCCAUUGAUGGUUCCCUGCAACAGUUAUUAGCUAUGAUAUUUGCUUAGUAGUGAUUAUUUAUUUCCAUCAUUUCUUCCACUUUGAAUUCCACUUUCAAAUUUAUUAAUUUGAAACGCUAAUUUAUUUUUUAUCAAUUUGGACUUACGGGCAUAAUCUGUUACUAUCAUUAUAUAUAUUAUUGCUCAAAAUGUUUCCACCUAAGCCAUUAAGAGGUCCCUCUAGUUAGCUCCUAUAUCCUUUUUUAGCUACCCCUGUCAUUUUUUGAGCACUCCUUUUUGGCAUCAGAAGCUGUUCCAGGCUCAUCUAUAUUUUAUGUUCUAAGCCUGAAAUCAACUGUUUCUCCAAGGAGCUUUGGUUCCUUAUAUUAUAGACUGGUAUUUAGAAACCAAGAUCGUAGAGCUAGGUGUGCUCACUGCUUCUCAGAAGACAUUGGAAAUGUAUGUAUGUGUAUUAACCCAUGUAUACACACAUAUAUAGUUAUUUUGGUUUUUCUUUUUGUAAUAGUCGAAAUACUUACGAUAGCUCUUUCUAUCUCACCCUCUUCAUUUGUCAUGUUAUUCAUCUGUGGUACAAUUAAGUUCACUGGUUACUGUUUAUUCUAUUUUGGGUUGUCCUCCUCACAUCCUGGUUUAUUUAUUUUGGGGGUAUGUAAAACAUUAUAUGAUUUUAAGAGUCAGAAUUAUUUUAAAAGGUAUACUUAGAAAGGUUUUACUCCUCCUUUAUGACUAUUACUCUGUUUCUUUUUCCUAUUCCCUUCUGCCCUGUUCCCACUUACUCUUAACCAGUCUCAUUAAUUUAUGGUUUAUUCUUUUUUUUUCUUUUUUUUUUUUCUUGAGAUGGAGUCUCACUGUUGUUGCCCAGGCUGAAGUGGAAUGGCAUGAUCUUGGCUCACUGAAACCUCUGCCUCCCAGGUUCAAGUGAUUCUCCUGCCUCAGCCUCCCAAGUAGCUGGGAUUACAGGCACCUGCCACCAUGCCUGGCUAAUUUUUUGUAUUUUUAAAACACAAAACAUUUUUAGUAGAGAUGGGGUUUCACUUUGUUGGCCAGGCUGGUCUCGAACUCCUGACCUCAUGAUCCACCUGCCUCGGCCUCCCAAAGUGCUGAGAUUACGGGCGUGAGCCACCACACCUGGCCAGUUUAUUCUUUUGUACAAAUGAAUAUACAUAUGAAAGAAAAAAAUAUAUAUAUUUACAUUCCUUUCUGUUUUGCAUGAAAGGUAGCAUACUAUAGAUACUCUUUCACAUUUUGCAUUUUAAAUUUAAUGUGUCCUGGAAAUCACUCAAUAUAAGUUCAUAGAGAUCUUCAUUCUUCUUUAUAGCUGUAUAGUAUCCCAUUGUGUUGGAUACAUUGUAGUUUAUUCAACCACUCUUACGUAUGAACAUUGAGCAUCUAGGUCGCUUCUAAUAUUUUGUAAUUACAAUGCUGUAGUGGAUAACCUUGUGCAUAUUAAUUUUUUAUUGUUGGAGGUUUAACUUCAGAGUAGAUUCCUAGAAGUAGAAUUGCCAGGACGAAAGCUAAAUGCAUCCAUAAUUUUUACUAAGGGUUGUUAAAUUUCCUUCCAGGAGGGCUCUACCAAUCUUCAUUCUCACCAGCAAUGUUCAAGAAUAUUCUCCCACAGCCUUGAUAACAGAAUAUAUUGUCAUACUUUUUAAUUUUUGCCAAUAUGAUAAAGAAGAAAUGGUAUCUCAGUGUUGUUUUAAUGUCCAUUUUUCUUUUUUUUUUUUUUAAUUUUUGUGACAGAGUGUUAUUCUGUUGCCCAGGCUGGAGUGCAGCGGCAUGAUGCAGCUUUGAACUCCUGGACUCACGUGAUCCCCUAUCUCAGCCUCCCAAAUAGCGGGGACUACAGAUGUGCACCACCACACUCUGCUAAUUUUUAAAAUUUUUUCUGUAAACGUAGGGUCUUGCUACGUUGCCCAGGCUGGUCUCAAACUCCUGGGCUCAUGCAAUCCUCCUCCCUCAGCCUCCCAAAAGACUGUGAUUAUAGGUGUGAGCUACCAUGCCUGGCUGCAUUUUUGUAACUAUAACAUUUUUUUCUUAUAUUUAAGGGCCAUUUUGUGUAUUUCAUUUUAUAUAUUUUUGGUUCACUUGUCUGUUGAUAUUGGGUUUUUGGUCCUUUCUCCCUUGAUAUUCAAAAGCUCUUUGCAUAUUAGUGGUAUGUCUGUUGCAAAUAUUUUCUCCUAGUUUGUCAGUUGUCUUUUGACUUUGUUUAUGGUAAUGAUGGUGUUGCUGUUUUACCAUGUGUUAUAUUUCAUUUUUAUGUGGUCAAAUUAUCUUUUUUUUUGCCUCUAUUUUAAGUCAGUCUCUACACUGAGAUCAGAGAGUAAUUUACUCAUGGUUUCUUCUAGUAAUUGUAUAAUUUUAUUUUUUGUACUUAGGUCUCUGGUACAUUUGGAGUUUAUUCUUUUGUACGGCAUGAAAUGCAGAUCUAAUUUUAUUUCAUUUUUUUCCAACUGGCUACCCAGUUGUCCUGACACCAUUUAUUAAAAAGUACAUCUUUGCCCCAGUGGCUUGAGAUGCCACUUUCAUCACAUGCUAAAUUGGACGGAAUCACCUGUAAAGUUCCCUUUUUGCUAUUUUUACUUUGUCAUGGUGUGAUUUGUCUUUUGCUAUCUGUUCAUUGCCUGUGGUGACAAAUGUUUGUUCUUCUGAAAGAAUAGUUAAUUAUUGCAGCAAUAAUCUUGAAAGCUAAAGCAAUUUACCGUCUGGCUCUGUGUUUAUAAAACACUGUUACCCAAAUUGAACCCACAGCUCUGAGAUAUUACUCCUUCUGUCUAAAUGUUAUCAGUGUCUGUUCUAUUGUAAAAUCAUUAGGCUGAAAUGAAGCUUUUUAAAAUUAGUCUCAAUUCUACUUUGGAACCAUUGUACUGAAACCUUGGAGAACAGUCUUAUGAGAACUGGCUUUAUUCAUGUUUAUUGUCUUUGACUCCUGGACUUGUUUCCUUCAUUCAGCUGCUGGAUCUAGGUAGACAAAUUGUUAUACCAGACUAUUGUCAGAGUAGAUUCAUUAGAAUAAUAAGGUAAUUUAACUUUCAUGUGCACCUAUAUCCAGAGUACAAAGUUGCCUGGCAACAAUGAUGUCCUCAUUAAAAUUCAGAAAACCUCAAACAAAGUCCAGCCAUUAUUCUUCUAAAAUGAAUUUACAUGUGAAGGAACACCAUCUUACAGAAUCCUCCUGUUUUCAGAAUAAAUAAUUAGCUCUUUAGAGAAAUAGAUUAAUAAAAGCAAUGCAAUAUUGUACUGUUUCUCCGUCUUAUAAGGCCAGUCUUAAGUAUUUGAUUAGUGCCAUAGAGCUGACUUUGCUUGCAAAGCACCCCCAUUUCUUGGGCUUCAAAUGUCAGAGUAAAUGGAAAGUGCCAGAGGAAUUUUAAUUCAUUUCCUUUAUUUUGUCUCUCUUUUAAAAUACUUAUUUCAAAGUGAUGAAGAAAGGUGCAGGUAAAAAUGAAGCCAUGGCUUCUAUUACGAUUUUUUCCUUUAUAGUCAUGUUAUUCAUACCUUUGCCCUCUAGAGGGAGCAAGAAGGUUAUAGUUGUUAAGUAGUCAUAAUUCCUGAAAAAACUCAAAUCUUACCUCCCUUACCUCCCCAACCCAGAUGGAAAUUUGUUUCAGUAGGUGGGGCUAUUUCCUUGGAAAUAGUAUUAUUUAUUUCACUCCUCAAGCUCCCCACUGUGGUCCUUUUCCUCCAUUAAGGUAGAGAGACCUGUAAAUUCUUUUCUCCCAAUUCCUACCAGCAACAAAAAUGUUAGAGAACAUGGCCAAAAACUAAACCAUAGUUUAAUUUGACUAGUUAGAGAACCAACCCUCCAGGUGGCUUCUGGGCUGAAAAGUUGAUGUAUCACAAGAUCCUUCGUUGAUAGAAAAGUCCAAGCUAUUAGAAAAUGCUGUUUCUCAUUGGUCUCCUGCUUCACAGGAAGCUUUCUCCGUGACGACUGGUCCCAAAUAAACACUUACAACUUUCUCUGAAACAAAAGCCUGUACAAUAAUGAUGACCUAAUUUCAACGUAUACAUUUUCUCUUUCUUGUGGUUAUUGGUAAAUUCAAGAUGGGUUUGUGGCGCCUGAUUCUGGAUCUUAAAUGUUAUGCUGAAUCUGAGAGCUUGGCUUGAGGGAGGUUUGGGAGUGGUUGGGUUUUUUCUUCUUUGGCCUGACAUGGGCUGGCCUAUGGAGGAUUUCGGCCCCAGUGCCUUCCAUGCACGGAAGAAACCUUUCUUCAUACUGUACAGUGGGCUUGACGUACCAUCUGUAUGCUGCUGAUUCCCAAAUUUUUAUCCUCAUCUCUGACCUCACAUCAGAGUGGCCUGUUUCAUAUUACUUGAAUAUCUCAUUGGAAUUUCAAAUUUAAUAAGUUCAAAACAGAAUCCCUGACUUUUCCCACUGCACACCAGUUUCUUCCCCAGGAUUCCCCAUUUCUGUAAAAAUGGACAACCGUCUAUUACUGACUUAUGAGUCAUUUUUGGUUCCUCAGCUUUCUUCACCCCUACCAUCUAAUCCAUCAGCCAAUUCUGCUGAUUCUACCUCCAAAAUAUUUCCUCGUCCUGCCUUCUUUUACUUAUCUCUCCUACUCUCUACUCCACUUCCAACAGGUAUCAAGCUAUGGUUAUUUCUCACCCAGAACAUUAGGAUAGCUUCUUAGCAGAUGUAAUGAUGGCCAUGGUUUGGAACAAUUUCAUGUGCUUUUCUCUUUUUCCUGAAUAUAUCUGUCUCUGAGAUGAGAUAAAUGAAUGCAAACUAAAAGGAAGAGUUAAGAUUUGGCUUCUGACAUUCAAAAAUGGGGUUCUGCAGAAAGACAGUAGGCUUAAAAACUAGUCCGUGUAGGGAGAGAAAAGAUUUUUAAAUGUUUUUAUUUUUUAUUUUCGUAGCAAGGAGUAGGCCUGGAAAAUUAGACUGUAAAUUUCUAUGAUAACAUAUAUUAAUAGAAUGUUUAUUCUAUUCACCAUUAAUGCUCAGUAAUGAGGCUGCGGUUCAGAAGAUGAUGACUAUGAUAAUGAAGGCUGCACUCCAGCCUGAAUAGAUUUUUGGAGGAGGAAGACAGAGAGAAGGGGGUCAGAAGAGGUAGAUGGUGAGUUCAGCACUCUGAUCUUCCUUCUGGUCUCAACCCUGGAGAGUGGGAAGUCUGUUAAAUUCCUAAAGGGAAAUGGGGCAGAGAGGUUCCUUCCUUGCUUCCAGCCUGGGACACUGGGAAGAGAUCACCUGGAAGCUCCUUGAGGGACCUUCUUGGCAAACCUGGAGGGUGACCACAUGAAAUCAAUUCAGAGAUGUGGUCAGAGAGAGUGAUGGUCUAAUUUGCAUCCCCAGUACUUCCUCUGUUCUCCCAAGACAUGAAUGCAGACUUGAGAGCUGACAAGGCCUACACAGGCCUGUUGAGAUAGGGGAUUUACAGAGACUUAGAGGGGUUUGUAAUGCCCGUGAGAGCUGAAAUGAAUGCGGCUGUCAUACAAGGAGUCACUGGGUCCAACUGAGCUGAGAGGGAGCAUAGACCAAGAUGCCUGCCAGCUGCAGCCUCAGCCAUAGCCCCUAAUGACACCAUUGAGGGCUAAUCACAAGGGGAAUAAGGCACAUUGCUGGGGAGCCAAAAGACCCUGCAUGGUUUUGAGGACUUUUACCCCCAAAUCUGCAAGGUCAUGUACACUUCUUUGCCCAGCACUGUCCCGGGGGACAGGGAUGUUGCUGAAAUCUAGAGACUAAGUAUGUUUAACCAAAGUGGCCGAGUUUUACCUAAAAGAAAGAUUUAAAUUAUUGUAUUGAUCUAAAUAUUAUCCCCUGCUUUUUUGUUUUUCUGUAGUGCAUAGGAGCUAGCAAGCAAGAAUAGAUCAGAUCUAGGCGAAGCAGAAGUGUAAUUUCUCUGCACAUGUGAGUUCUAGGGUGAGUGCUGCACUGGUUGCUUCCUGCCCCCACCCUUACCACUACUGUAGUACACACACAGCAGGCAAAGUGGUCUUUAAAAGUGAGAUCUGGUUCUAUGUCCUAUCCCAACCUUCUAAAAAACUUCCUGUUGGGCACAGAAUUAAAUACCAGCACCUCACUAUGGCAUAAAAGGCCCCACAUGAUCUGGGUCCUAUCUUCUGUCUGUCACAUCCUAUACCUUGUCUAAGAAGCUGCAGCACAGUGACCCCUCUACUCCUUGAACAGGCUUUGCUAUUUCCCAUUGCAAGCUUUUGCACUUGGUGUUUAUGCUGAUGCCUUCCAUUUGCCCUUCUAGACCUAAUCUUCAGUCUUUCUCAUCUUGUUCUGUGUGCCAGUAGGCUGAUGGUGUGAAUUGCAUCAAUGAACACUCUUGCUUCCUGACUUCCUGUUGGAAUUGGCCAAUGGGAAGCACUAGCAGGAGAUCAGAGAGAGUGAGGAGGAGAUAUUUAUUCAGGGUAUUUACCACCCCACCCCUGCUCCUUCCUUGCUGGCUAGUCACCUGAGGAUGGUUGCAUCCCUUUACCAAAGGCCACAGCUCCUAUCAGGGGUCUUCUCCAUCUUUUGGUAGCCACUCCUCCCUUUGUCCCUGCAGGUCAGGGGUGCUCAUGGUUCCCCCCACUUUUGGUAGCCCUGGGUAGCUAGUUUCAUUAAGCUCUGCCUGCGCUUUUGCACAUCAUCCCUUGUGAGUGUCUUCUGCUUCCUAUUAGGCCUCAGCUGUCACAUUGCUCCUUCUGUAGGCUCUCUGCAUGCUGGUUCGUUCUUUUCCUUGAGCUCAGCUCAGAUGUUACCUUCUGAGGCAGGAGUAAAGGGAGGGAAGAAAGGGCCCCCCGACUCCUCCUCAUCUCCCUGCCCACUCCCAUGUCCUGCUUUAUGCUCUUCACUUAUUUAUUUAUUUUAUUUAACAUCUUUUUCAUUGUGGUAGGAAUACUUAAUGUGAAACCUACCCUCUUGCCAAGUUUUUAACAGUGCAAUAUAGCAUUGUUUAUAAUAGGCAUAAUACUGUACCACAGAUCUCCAGAACUUUCUUAUCUCACGUAACUGAAACUUUAUACCUGUUGAAUAGACACUCCCUAUCCCAUCCUUCCCUCCCCGCAGCUCCUGGGAACCACCAUUCUACUCUGUGCUUCUAUGUGUCUGACUAUUCUAGAUACCUUAUAUAAAUAGUGGAAUUACGCAGUGUUUGUCUUUCUGUGACUCUGGCCUUCACCCUUUUUUUUUUUUUUCCCCGAGAUGGAGUCUUCCUCUGUCUUCCAGACUGGAGUGCAGUGGCGUGAUCUUGGCUUGCUGCAACCUCCGCCUUCCAGGUUCGAGCAAUUAUCCUGCCUCAGCCUCCCGAGUAGCUGGGACUACAGUUGCGUGCCACCAUGCCUGGCUAAUUUUUUUUGUAUUUUUAGUAGAGAUGAGGUUUCACCAUAUUGGCCAGGCUGGUCUCAAAAUCCUGACCUUGUGAUCUGCCCACCUUGGCCUCCCAAAGUGCUGGGAUUACAGGUAUGAGCCACCGCGCCCGGCCCCUUCACUCUUUUUAACAACAUAUUUUUAAUUUCUUGCAUUGAAAUCAUAAUUUGACACUAUUUUUUGUUGUUGUUUUUUACUUGUCUCUUUUAACUGGACUGUAAGCCAACAAUAGAAGGAAACUUUUGUGUUUCACUCACUACAGUGUCCCCGGUGCCUAGAACAGGGCUUGUACAUAGGAAGCAGGAAAUAAACUUUUUUUAAAAGAAUGAAUGGGGAGCUGAUUUUUCAUGCCCUUGAGAAGCCAAGCUCUUGAGGCAGGCAUAUGUGGGGGUGUCAAAAGCAGAUCAGGAGGUCGUCUCAUUUCCUUGUACUUUCAUUGCAUCAAGGUGCCAACACUGCUUCUCAGGUACCAUUUGUUAACUGAACCAUCAGUGCUUAGGAAGUAGAAAGGAAGAAAUGAAAUAAUUAUGUUUCAGAUUGAGCCCUUUUCCUGGAAACUUGGAAGAGUGUUCCAUACCAUCCAGUCUUUCUGUCACUUUUACCUAUUUCAGGUGUGUCCAGUCUCAGCUGGGAAUGGAAGAUGCUUUGCAUAUCUUUAAAAUCUUCGGGCCAUAGAGUUGGGGAGAGUACAGAAAGAAUACCACAGAACUUAUAUGCCAGAAAAUGGCAGGUGCUCCGAGGGCUAUGUUGGAAUGCUUGGAGUGCAUAAAAAUACCAAGAUGGGGCGUCCUUACUCCCAGUCUUUCCAGAUGUUCUUCCCACUCCUCAACUGCUCCUGGCUCAGAAACCCUGCACACCUGGAAGAAAGUGAGAACCAGUUUUUCAACAAACACAUUGCACAGACUUAUUGUGAACCCCGGGUGGAAUCAAGCAUCGGAGGAAGAGAACGUGGUAAUAUUGACUCCAAUCCAGAAGACAGUCAUCAGUUAAGUAAAUAAAACAGGAACAGAACAUUGGUACUUACAGUAGGCAUGAUUUUAAGAUAAACCCCAAUGAGUCAUACCCUUGUAUAAUCUCCUCCCCUUGAGUGUUGUUGGAGCUAAUGAGUUGCAUUUAGUGAACAGAAUAUGGCAAAGAUGGUGGGAUCGUCACUUCCGUGGUUAUGUUAUUGCUAUGUAAACUGCCAUUAUAGCAGACUGGAAGGAUUGAUUCUCCUUUUGGCCAUGACGUAGUGAGGUACCAUGUGACAAGAAACUGCAGGCAGCCUCCUGAGUCUGAGAGUGGCCCCUGGCUGACAGCUAGCAAGAAAACAGGGACCUCAGUCCUCCAGCUUCAAGGAAGUGAACUCUCUGAAAUCACAUACACAUGGAAGAGGACCCCAAACUCCAGACUCCAGAAAAGAAUGCAGCUGUGUCGACACCUAGAUCACAGCCUUGUGAGACCCUGAGCAGGGGACCCAGUUAGGCUGUGCCUCAACUCCUGACCUAUAGAAACUGAGAUGAUAAAUGGGUGUUGUUUUAAGCCACUAAACUGGGAUGUGUUAUGAAAUGACAGAAAUUUAAUACAGUCUCCGUAUUCAGGGUGGAGUGUAAGAGAGUGUGUUUAAAUCUCAGCUUUGCUACUUAUUAGAUGUACAACCAUGGCAAUUACUUAACCCCUCUGAAUCGGUUACCUUUAUGGUAAAAUAGGAACAAAAAUUAUACCUAUUUCAGGAUGAUGAAGAGGGAAUGAAAUGGUACACGUUGAGUCACUUAACGUGGUACCUGACACAUAGUAACUUCUCAAUACAUGUUUUUCAUUGUCAUUAGAGGUUGGACAUUUUAAAUUCCAUAAUCCUAAAUGUUUUUUUCAUUAUUUUUUUCCAUGUUGCUCAUGUUUUGAAGAUUUUCAUUUAUCAUAUUACCUGAUUUUAUUUAUUAAGUAAUCAUUCAUUUUCAUUUCCUCAUCUAUUUUUUUUCUUUUCUUUUCUUUUUUUGAGAUGGAAUCUCGCUUUGUCACCCAGGCUGGAGUGCAGUGGCGCAAUCUUGGCUCCUGAGUAUCUGAGAAUACAGGCGCGUGCCACCACGCCCAGAUAAAUUUUUUGUAUUUUUUUAGUAGAGACAGGGUUUCACCAUGUUACCCCGGCUGGUCUCGAACUCUUGACCUCAAGUGAUCCACCUGCCUUGGCCUCCCAAAGUGCUGGGAUUACAGGCGUGAGCCACCACACCCAGCCCUCCCCAUCUAUUUCUAAUUCAUGACCUACAUACAGCUUCUGAUUAGCUUGGGGUAUUCUUAAUAGAUUAAUUAUAAUUAAUGUAGUUUGGCUAAAAGCAGACAUUUAGUGUUAUAGUUAGUAGAAUUUCCCUUAACUUUUGAAAUAUAAGAAAUGAAUUGUUGAACUUUGCCAGAUUAACAUUUGGAACCACAGUAUUAGCUGAUUGAUGGUAAAUAGGCAUUGGGUGACUUUCUGCAGCUAAGCAAGGCAAUCAUGAUUUGCCUUUAUAUGCCAGCAUAUUUGCUCAGGUAUUGCUGGAUGGGUGAGAAUGGCUGAAAAGAAAAUUGUUAGUUCAAGUGAAGGAAGGAAGUGCCCAGAAAGAAAAAGAAGAUAAAAUAUUAACAUUAUUUAGGUACUUAAUGGCUGGGAAUUAACUUAUGAAUCACAAAAGUUUUAGGAAUUGUUGUGCAAUGUCAGUAUUUAAAUUAUGGUAAAAUGAAUAAGUAUGCUUCAUUUAUGUUGUGUUUAUAGUAAAAUGCUCUUAUUUUGUAAUUUAUUUUGUGUAUAAUAAAAUAAGAGCAUUUUAAUCUAAAAUUAUAAUAUUUGAAGUAUGAUUGCUACUCUUUCAUUAGUGCUUUAUUUCCUCUUUGAAUAUUAUCUAAAAUACUGCAUUAUAUUAUGUUAUUAAUAUCAAGGCCUAAUGUAUUCAGUUUCUAGAUGAACACUUUUCAAGUUGAUUACAGACUUGAUAGGGAAUUAUAUCUAUUUAAUAGAAGUCUCUUUUGUACAAUCUUAGCUAAAAUUCUGAGAAACAAGAAAAAGCUAUGUUAUAAGGAACUAGUUCAUCUGCUGUAAAAGUACACUGACAUUUUAAAGUGCAAAAAACCAAAAUACAGCUUAAGAACUAUGUCUGAAAAGUUAAUGUUAAAUAAAUUAGAUUUUCCAGGUUAUACUCUGUAUACGCCCUGAAAAAGUUCUGCAAUACAACGCAUAGAAAACAUACACAUACUCACACAACAGACACAUAAUACAUAAAACACCCACAGUGCACACAUGCAAAACACACAAAUGGCAACCCCUAUAAGCAUAUUAAGUUCUCUGAGAAGUCCUACAAUAGAGACCUACUAAGUUUUGUUUAAUCAUGUGCUUCUCCAGUUGAUCUCAGAAUCCUUCCCCCACCAUCACAGGUAACCCUGAUUCCUGAUGACUUUGUGUUCCUUGGAACACACUUUAUGAAUGACGGCUCUAUGAGAUUUUUCCCAAGGAAAACUAUUACAUAGGAGAAGUGUAAGAUGCCCUCAACAUUUAUGGGUAAAAAACAGAUACCACCAUUAAAAUAACCCAUAUAUCAGAAACAAUACCUCCAAAUUAUGUGAAGAACAUUGAGAAUUCUUGCAGGGACUGAAAAUCUUUAUUUCCUUGUGGAAUCCAGGUUCUUUCUUUUGGUGUUAUGUACAGAUAAAGCCAGGUCUAUCUGCAGGUGAUCACUGUGCUGCUAGUCUCUGUUCACAUUGGUAGAAAGAUGUCGUUGGGCAGUAAAAGAUGGUCAUCUUCCUGCAAAAUGAGUCAGUAACCCAAGGGUGAAAGCUGUGUCUCCCCCACAAGUUCUAUCAGCAUCUUUUGACUUGACAGCACAAUUGGGAGCCUUAUCCUUUCUGCAUUCCUGACACAGAGGACCAAAGGCCACUCCUCAACAACUUGUACCGCUCUGUUUAUUCCAUAAAGAAUGAAAAAGGAAUAUAUUUCCACACUUUAAGACUAUAUGGUGGGGCAUUUGGAGGGUGCUUACUCUGAUAAUUAAAAGGAUUUUAUCUUCAUGAGGAAAUCGACAUUUGCUGUCAGGAUGCCAGACCACAAUUCUAUAGAAGCUUUUCUCUUUUUUUUUGAUUGAUAUGGUUUGGCUGUGUGUCUCCACCCAAAUCUCAUGUCGAAUUGUAAUCCCCAUAUGUGAGGGGAUGCUCCUGGUGGGAGGUAAUUGGGUCAUGAGGGUGGAUUUCCUCCUUGCUGUUUUUGUGAUAGUGAGUGAGUUCUCACGAGAUCUGAUGGUUUAAAAGUGUAUGACACUUUCCCCUUCACUCUCUGUCUCUCCUGCUCUGCCAUGGUAAGAUGUGCUUGCUUUCUCUUCAUCUUCCACCAUGAUUGUAAGUUUCCUGAGGCCUUCCAACCAUGCUUCCUGUCCAGCAUGUGGAACUGGAACUGUGAGUCAAUUAAACCUCUUUUAUUCAUAAAUUACCCAGUCUCAGGUAGUUCUUUAUAGCAAUGUGAGAACGGACUAAUACAGAAAAUUUGUAUCAGGAAAGUGGGGCAUUGCUUUAGAGAUACCUGAAAAUGUGGAAGCAACUUUGGAAUUGGGUAACAGGCAGAGGUUGGAACAGUUUGAAGGGUUUGGAAGAAGACAGGAAGAUGUGGGAAAGCUUGGAACAUCCUAGAGAUUUGUUGAAUGGUUUUGACCAAAAUGCUAAUAGUAAUAUAGACAAUAACAUCCAGGCUGAGAUGGUCUCAGAUGGAGAUGAGGAACUUAUUGGGAACUGGAGUAAAGGUCACUGUUAUGCUUUAGCAAAGAGACUGGCAGCGUUUUGCCCCUGCCCUAGAGAUUUGUGGAACUUUGAACUUGAGAGAGAUGAUUUAGGGUAUCUGGCAGGAGAAUUUCUAAGCAGCAAAGCAUUCAAGAUGUGACCUGGCUGUUUCUGCAAGUGCAUGCUUAUAUGUGUGAACAAAGAGAUUAUCUGAAACUGGAACUUACAUUUAAAAGGGAAACAGAGCAUAGCAGUUUGGAAAAUUUGCACCCUGGCUACAUGGCAGAAAAGAAAGACCCAGGCUGGGCGCAGUGGCUCACACCUGUAAUCUCAGUACUUUGGGAGGCUGAGGUGGGCGGAUCACCUGAGGGUGGGCGUUUGAGACCAGCCUGAUCAAAUUGGAGAAACCCCGUCUCUACUAAAAAUAGAAAAUUAGCCAGGUGUGGUGGCGCAUGCCUAUAAGCCCAGCUACUCGGGAGGCUGAGGCAGGAGAAUUGCUUGAAUCCAGAAGGCAGAGGUUGCAAUGAGCUGAGAUCGUGCCAUUCCACUCCAGCCUGGGCAACAAGAGUGAAACUCCAUCUC